This 397-nucleotide ribosomal RNA is filed under the name uncultured bacterium. RNAcentral's name for it is "partial 16S ribosomal RNA". It matches the Rfam family "Bacterial small subunit ribosomal RNA", at positions 523 to 918 of the family's 1533-position model. The record is from RNAcentral.
AUACGUAGGUGACAAGCGUUAUCCGGAUUUACUGGGCGUAAAGGGCGUGUAGGCGGUCUUGCAAGUCAGAAGUGAAAUUCCUGAGCUCAACUCGGGCGCUGCUUCUGAAACUGCAGGCCUUGAGUGCUGGAGGGGAUAGCGGAAUUCCUAGUGGAGCGGUAAAAUGCGCAGAUAUUAGGAAGAACACCGGUGGCGAAGGCGGCUAUCUGGACUAUAACUGACGCUGAGGCGAGAAAGCGUGGGGAGCAAACAGGAUUAGAUCCCCUGGGAGUCCACGCUGUAAACGAUGAAUACUAGGUGUAGGGGGUAUCGACUCCCUCUGUGCCGCAGUUAACACAAUAAGUAUUCCGCCUGGGGAGUACGGCCGCAAGGUUGAAACUCAAAUGAAUUGACGGGG